This 153-nucleotide ribosomal RNA is filed under the name uncultured bacterium. RNAcentral describes it as "partial 16S ribosomal RNA". It matches the Rfam family "Bacterial small subunit ribosomal RNA", at positions 338 to 507 of the family's 1533-position model. The record is from RNAcentral.
CCUACGGGAGGCAGCAGUGGGGAAUMUUGCGCAAUGGGGGAAACCCUGACGCAGCGACGCCGCGUGGRGGAAGAAGGCCUUCGGGUUGUAAACUUCUUUUGCAGGGGAAAAGAGAGGACGGUACCCUGCGAAUAAGCCCCGGCUAACUACGUG